UAGCUCACUGGUCGAGUCGGCCUGCGCGGAAGAUGUAACGGGGCUAAACCAUGCACCGAAGCUGCGGCAGCGACACUAUGUGUUGUUGGGUAGGGGAGCGUUCUGUAAGCCUGUGAAGGUGGCCUGUGAGGGUUGCUGGAGGUAUCAGAAGUGCGAAUGCUGACAUAAGUAACGAUAAAGCGGGUGAAAAGCCCGCUCGCCGGAAGACCAAGGGUUCCUGUCCAACGUUAAUCGGGGCAGGGUGAGUCGACCCCUAAGGCGAGGCCGAAAGGCGUAGUCGAUGGGAAACAGGUUAAUAUUCCUGUACUUGGUGUUACUGCGAAGGGGGGACGGAGAAGGCUAUGUUGGCCGGGCGACGGUUGUCCCGGUUUAAGCGUGUAGGCUGGUUUUCCAGGCAAAUCCGGAAAACCAAGGCUGAGGCGUGAUGACGAGGCACUACGGUGCUGAAGCGACAAAUGCCCUGCUUCCAGGAAAAGCCUCUAAGCAUCAGGUAACAUCAAAUCGUACCCCAAACCGACACAGGUGGUCAGGUAGAGAAUACCAAGGCGCUUGAGAGAACUCGGGUGAAGGAACUAGGCAAAAUGGUGCCGUAACUUCGGGAGAAGGCACGCUGAUAUGUAGGUGAAGCGACUUGCUCGUGGAGCUGAAAUCAGUCGAAGAUACCAGCUGGCUGCAACUGUUUAUUAAAAACACAGCACUGUGCAAACACGAAAGUGGACGUAUACGGUGUGACGCCUGCCCGGUGCCGGAAG
RNAcentral lists this ribosomal RNA (752 nucleotides) under Escherichia coli. RNAcentral's name for it is "partial 23S ribosomal RNA". It matches the Rfam family "Bacterial large subunit ribosomal RNA", at positions 1138 to 1875 of the family's 2925-position model. Lineage: Bacteria; Pseudomonadati; Pseudomonadota; Gammaproteobacteria; Enterobacterales; Enterobacteriaceae. The record is from RNAcentral.